This is a non-coding RNA of Acanthosepion pharaonis, 114 nucleotides long. The record is from the annotation of a GenBank genome assembly. Lineage: Eukaryota; Metazoa; Mollusca; Cephalopoda; Sepiida; Sepiidae.
UUACAGCCAUAUCACAUUGAAAUACUGGUUCUCAUAUGAUCACAGAAGUUAAGCAAUGUCAAACCUGGUCAGUAUCAAGAUGGGUGACAGCUUAUGAAUACCAGAUGCUGUAAG